GAAGAGGGUGUUAUAUUGUUUUUACUCACCAGUCAUGAUAGAUUCCAAUGAGUCCUCGUUCAUAUACAACUCCAAGUCUAUUCUUUUCAGCAAUGGUGGGGACAACAUUCAUAACCCAAAGCUUUUGUGAUUCUAUAGCAGCAGCAAAUCCACCAAACCCUGCGUUCAUGUCCAUGAUGUUACGGUACCUUCCUGUGUCAAGUAGACUGUUGAUUCUCUUAUAGGCCUUCACAUGUUUCUUCCACUGUCUGUUAUCGUCUUCAUAGGCAUCGACCGUGACACCAGAGAUGGAACCGCUAGAGAUCCUAGGAGGCACUGCGUUAAGUCUGUCAGGGAAAGCCUGAAGUUCCCCUCCAGCUACCUCAUCUGAGCUACUUGUCUCCGGAUACGGUGUAAUACAUGCCUCCAUUUUCUUGUACCAGACAUCAUCGGUGUCAUCAGUUUUGCAGAAGUUGGCUCUAGGAUCAUCUUGUCUUGAACGGCAUGCAUCAUCAUUGACUCUCUUCUGCCAAAUGGCGAUCUCUCCGUGUUCAUACUUCUUCUCCCAACAAAGAAGCUUAGCAGUUUCCUCAAUCUUUCUUUGUUCCUCUUGAAGCUCCUCCUUGGGACGUUGCCACGCCUUGUAGUUGAUUUUCCAGUUGAUUGGAGGACCAGAUAGAAUCCAGUACCCACCAGGUCUAAGCACACGGUCAACUUCCAUCAAGUACAUACCAUCUGUUUAAAACACCAACACAAGAUUAAGAAACUGAAUCGUUUGUUAAAGAAGUAGAAACUAGUGCUCACCAUUUGCUCCCCAUGGAAUCAAACAUCUUGAGCAAUGAGCCAUGUCGAAAGCCCUAGUUGGAUACGGCAGCUUUAUGGUACCAAGAACACCAAUAACAGCAGGAACACCUCUCUCUAGCGCAAACUGAACCUGAGCCUCGUGUGAAUCUCUCGGUGCAAAAUUGCACGUACAUUCCUGCUCCAUAGGUACGCUCCCCAGCUUGCAACCUAACCAAAACGUCUUCAGUUUAGCUACCACAAACUCAGACAAGGACAAACCAAACAUAAAGAGAGAUUAAUUACCCCACAACCAGUGUCCAAAGCAGUCCUAACAGUACCAUUCCCCAUGGGUAUCACAGAAGCAAGCUGAUCAAUAUACUUAUCAGCCCCCUGAGGGAACUGAGUCCCACCUCCAGGGAACCUAAAAACCUCACCCUCAUACUGAAUCCAAUUCUGAAUCGCCUUCUCAACAGUCAAUGCCUUAUACGGCGCAUUAGCAUAAGGCACAUAGUCUCUACUCUUAGGCCAAGAGAAAGGCGUAACGUAUCCCUUAGGCGCGGGGACAAGGCAACGAAGCUUCUCACUCUCUGGAGCGCAGUGCCUUUCGCGGUAAAUCAUGCUGUCUCUAGGGAACGUCAUCGCACGCCUCUGGUCUUGGCAGGGAGUGUAAUCAGUGUAAAGAGCAUCGCACGGCUCGAAAGUUUUGACCUUUGCUGAGGAACCAGAGAUGCUCGACUCUCCUGCGUGGUGUGUCUCGAAGUUUAGGCUUGGGACGAUGUUGCAGUCAGCUCCACUGUUUGUCAUCUGGAGGGCUAUGCUGUCUCCUUUGCCGAAGCCGCUUCGUUGCCAUGCUCCGAGGAUGUAGAAGAAGCAACAUAGGCUGAAGACGAUGAAGAUCUGAACAGAGCUUCUGGUUUUGUUGUCAGCAGAAGUCGACUUUAUCGCCAUGAUUGGUCUAAAAAGAAUGGAACAAAACUCAGAUCAGCUCCAUAGGAUAUAAGAAAACAGAUCAAAGAGGGAAAAAGUGUGAAUCUGUUGGAUUUGAAUCAGCAAACAAGACAUAAGAACAGAUUGACAUCAAGACAAUGAUACUAAGGUAUGUCUUCAGGAAGAAGCAAAAGAUCAAUACUUUACGACGUUAUUAAACAAAUAUCCGCAAAGAUUAACGAAAACAUUUUAUUAUACAAAGAGAAUGUGAACAGAUUGAGAAAAAAAUAACAAAAGUAACAACACCCCAUGUGGCAAAAAACAUAAGGAGACGGGAACUAAAAGUAGAUUUGUCGGAAUGAAGAAAUAAGAACAUACAGCAGAAUCUGGGAGAUAGAAUUGGCUAAUCAGAAGCUGUUGUUAUCGGUGGGGAUGGUGAUUGGUGAUUGGUGGAGAAGAAAGGGAUUGAAUGAAACGUGUAAUAAGAUAGAUUGUGGAGAACCCUAGUUUAUGAUGUUAAUCGUCAUCAUAAUGACCUCAACAUGGGAUGCGGUGAUGAUAAAUAAAGCUGGCGACUUUGUGUGUGAGGGAGAAAACUAUUUUGCCCUUUUUAAAACUGAGCCAUAUAGAGAGAUAGAGAGAAGGGGGGAACUGUGCAGAUCUAAUCGACGUCUCAUAUAUUUUUGUAUUUAACCUAAAAUUGACGGAAAUUUAUAAUUAAAGCCAUUACAUUUGAGAAAAUACAUCUAAACAAAGAAAAAGGGAGAAAAAGAAAAAGUUGAUUUUGUCUUUAGUUAAUUAUAAUUGUUUUUCAUACUUUUUUAAAAAAGGGGCUUACUAUUACUUUCCAUGCUUUUAUUUUUAUUUUAUGUAGCUUUUUCCAUCUAGAGUUAAUCUCAAAAAAUGAUUUCUUUUACAGUUAAAUGCAUAACCGAGAAAUAUUUUUAUUUUUGUCGGCCAAAUUGAGAGAGAUUACUUGUUACGCUUCAAGUAGUGAGUGACUUUCAAGUUUCAAUAAAUAAGUCAUCAUAGUUGCAUGAAUUAUGAAGGUAAGUUUUAAUUAGUACUGAGUAGGGAAGAACAUACCUCUGAACAUAGGACCCUAUCAUCUGUGAAUUAUAAAAAAGCAUGUUAUGUCUGCAAAACCGCGUUGUGAUCGUACCUCCCAUGAUGAUUUGUAUUUGGAUCCGACGGCUCCCAUGUAAUUUUUGCUGUUGGUUCUUUUCAUAGUAGUAGCAUAAGGCGCAUCCACAGAUCCACACGGCGUGCUCGUUAAGACGUGACAUUAUUUUAAGAAUUUUGCUUAGAGACACUUUCCAACUUUCUAAUUACAUAUUACAAGAUUCUUCACACUUGAAACACAAAACACACUUUGUGUCUGACUGGUGAUCAUUCGAGAAAUAAAAGAAACGAAUAAAAAAAGAAUGUACGGAAAUAAAAUAACAAGAAUGAAAAUGAAAGAUUGUUCCUUAUCAAAUUUAACAAGGAAUAAUUUUGUUCUUUAAUUCUUUACAAAAAAAAGAAUGAAAGAGAAUGAGAGGAAAUUAUUAUUCCUCAUGAAUGGUGAUUUUUUUUUAGGAACUUUAGGAAAUGAAUUAUUCCUCGCCGUUGUUCCCUGGUCACCAUUCAUAUUAUUUCUCUUGUGAAAAUAACUCAUAUGACCCUAAACUAAAGAGACACCUCUCCCUUCUUUCUUAUGCAUCACACUAAUAUAUUUCCUCUUCUUAUUCUACUUUAUUUUUUUUUCAUUUCACUUUAUGAUUUCAUUUACUUUUUUCUCAAAUUUUAAAAUAUAUUAAACAAAAAUAAUUGUCACAACAAAUUAUAUAUAAAACUAUCUAUCUUUUAAGAUCUAUUUUUAUAUAUAUUAUAUAUAUAUAUAUAUAUAUAAUCUCAUUCCAGAUAUGAUUCUCUUCACCUUGAUCAAUGUGUCCACAUCGUCUCGGAUUAUAACUGCUCCUUCUGGACGGAGUAUUCUAUCCAUCUCCAGAAGAAUGUCAUCCGCAUUGCACCUACAACGAUUCAUUAGUCUCAAAAACACACACAUCCAAUAGACAAGUGUCUGGUUAAAAGCGAGACACACUUACUUGUUCUUGUACAGACUGAAGAGGUGGUUGGCAUGGAUUAAGUCGUAUGUUCUUGGGUAUGUAGAGAAAGCCUCACACCUGAAACACACAUAUUAAACACCACAACAAAGUCUCUAAUGAGCUUUUUGAGAAGUUGUCAGAAGAAGAGGGUGUUAUAUUGUUUUUACUCACCAGUCAUGAUAGAUUCCAAUGAGUCCUCGUUCAUAUACAACUCCAAGUCUAUUCUUUUCAGCAAUGGUGGGGACAACAUUCAUAACCCAAAGCUUUUGUGAUUCUAUAGCAGCAGCAAAUCCACCAAACCCUGCGUUCAUGUCCAUGAUGUUACGGUACCUUCCUGUGUCAAGUAGACUGUUGAUUCUCUUAUAGGCCUUCACAUGUUUCUUCCACUGUCUGUUAUCGUCUUCAUAGGCAUCGACCGUGACACCAGAGAUGGAACCGCUAGAGAUCCUAGGAGGCACUGCGUUAAGUCUGUCAGGGAAAGCCUGAAGUUCCCCUCCAGCUACCUCAUCUGAGCUACUUGUCUCCGGAUACGGUGUAAUACAUGCCUCCAUUUUCUUGUACCAGACAUCAUCGGUGUCAUCAGUUUUGCAGAAGUUGGCUCUAGGAUCAUCUUGUCUUGAACGGCAUGCAUCAUCAUUGACUCUCUUCUGCCAAAUGGCGAUCUCUCCGUGUUCAUACUUCUUCUCCCAACAAAGAAGCUUAGCAGCUUCCUCAAUCUUUCUUUGUUCCUCUUGAAGCUCCUCCUUGGGACGUUGCCACGCCUUGUAGUUGAUUUUCCAGUUGAUUGGAGGACCAGAUAGAAUCCAGUACCCACCAGGUCUAAGCACACGGUCAACUUCCAUCAAGUACAUACCAUCUGUUUAAAACACCAACACAAGAUUAAGAAACUGAAUCGUUUGUUAAAGAAGU
This 4685-nucleotide long non-coding RNA is filed under the name Brassica napus (rape). RNAcentral's name for it is "long non-coding RNA (BNAP_LNC015927)". Lineage: Eukaryota; Viridiplantae; Streptophyta; Magnoliopsida; Brassicales; Brassicaceae. The record is from RNAcentral.